AAUAGAUACCCCGGUAGUCCACGCCCUAAACGAUGCAUAUUUGGUGUGGGCAGUUCAUUCUGUCCGUGCCGGAGCUAACGCGUUAAAUAUGCCGCCUGGGGAGUACAGUCGCAAGGCUGAAACUCAAAGGAAUUGACGGGGGCCCGCACAAGCGGUGGAGCAUGUGGUUCAAUUCGACGCAACGCGAAGAACCUUACCUGGGCUCGAACGGCUGGUCAACGGGAGCGGAAACGUUUCUACCCCGCAAGGGGGUCCAGUCGAGGUGCUGCAUGGCUGUCGUCAGCUCGUGUCGUGAGAUGUUGGGUUAAGUCCCGCAACGAGCGCAACCCUUGUCCUGUGUUGCCAUCAUUCAGUUGGGAACUCGCAGGAGACCGCCAGGGAUAACCUGGAGGAAGGUGGGGAUGACGUCAAGUCCUCAUGGCCUUUAUGUCCAGGGCUACACACGUGCUACAAUGGACGGUACAAAGCGCAGCGAACUCGCGAGAGGGAGCCAAUCGCAAAAAACCGUUCUCAGUUCGGAUUGCAGG
This 527-nucleotide ribosomal RNA is filed under the name uncultured bacterium. RNAcentral's name for it is "bacterial SSU rRNA". It matches the Rfam family "Bacterial small subunit ribosomal RNA", at positions 777 to 1304 of the family's 1533-position model. The record is from RNAcentral.